Molecule: ribosomal RNA, 1187 nt
Filed under: Dictyota dichotoma
Lineage: Eukaryota; Phaeophyceae; Dictyotales; Dictyotaceae
Description: eukaryotic LSU rRNA
Rfam family: Eukaryotic large subunit ribosomal RNA
Source: RNAcentral
UAUAACUAAGCGGAGGAAAAGAAACUAACAAGGAUUCCCUCAGUAACGGCGAGUGAAGCGGGAAGAGCUCACGUUGUGAAUCUGGCCCUCGGGCCCGAAUUGUACACUGGAGAGGCGUGGCCAGCCGCUGUCCGCGGCCAAGUCUGAUUGGAAAUGAGCAUCAAGGAGGGUGACAAUCCCGUCCAUGCCGCGGUACCGAUCAGCGCGCGUCCGGCCCGCUUUCGACGAGUCGAGUUGCUUGGGAUUGCAGCUCAAAGAGGGUGGUAAACUCCAUCCAAAGCUAAACACGGGGGGGAGACCGAUAGCGAACAAGUACCGUGAGGGAAAGAUGCAAAGAACUUUGAAAAGAGAGUUAAAGAGUGCCUGAAAUUGCUGGAAGGGAAGCGAAGGAAAGAGGUGUGCGGUUGCCCGGGCGCCAACCCCUACCUGUUCGCAGGGUGGGGGUAGGCCGCCCGGCCGCGGUCAGGGGUAGCGCCGGGCUCGGGGGAAGAGCCGUCGGGGAUCGGUAGGCGAGCCGCUUCGGUGGUGCGCUGUCAGGCCCCGGUGGUUGUUGCCCUGAGCCCGGCCCCCGUCUGGCGGUCGCGGCUUUUCUUCACCCCGUCUUGAAACACGGACCAAGGAGUCUAGCGUGGACGCGAGUAGAGGGGUGUCCAAACCCCCUUGCGCAAUGAAGGUGAACGCCGGUGGGAGGCUGUUAUGGCCAGCACCAUCGACCGAGCGUGCUCCCCCGGGGGCAAGGCUUGAGUGUGAGCGUGCAUGCUGGGACCCGAAAGAUGGUGAACUAUGCCUGAAUAGGGCGAAGCCAGGGGAAACUCUGGUGGAGGCUCGUAGCGAUUCUGACGUGCAAAUCGAUCGUGAGAUUUGGGUAUAGGGGCGAAAGACUAAUCGAACCAUCUAGUAGCUGGUUCCCUCCGAAAUUUCCCUCAGGAUAGCAGCGGCCGAGUUUUGACAGUUUUAUCAGGUAAAGCGAAUGAUUAGAGGCUGCGGGGGAGUAACUCCCUCGCCCUAUUCUCAAACUUUAAAUGGGUAAGGAGCUGGGGUCGCUUGAUUGGACCCUCGGCGUUAUUGGAAUGGCUGGUCGUUAGUGGGCCAGUCCGGGUAAGCUGGACUGGCGAUGCGGGAUGAACCGAACGCCUAGAUGAAGCGCCUCACUGCCCGCUCACCUAGAUCCCACAAAAGGUGUUGGU